RNAcentral lists this transfer RNA (91 nucleotides) under Saccharothrix algeriensis. RNAcentral's name for it is "tRNA-Thr". Lineage: Bacteria; Bacillati; Actinomycetota; Actinomycetes; Pseudonocardiales; Pseudonocardiaceae. The record is from RNAcentral. RNAcentral also lists the same sequence under 1 other name.
GUGCCGCUGCCUGGCCACGGCAUGCCGGCCGGGGCGCUGGUGCUGGCCCGGCAUGCGGGCCGCGCGCCGUUCGAGGCGGUGGAGGUGCACC